Molecule: ribosomal RNA, 478 nt
Filed under: uncultured bacterium
Lineage: Bacteria
Description: partial 16S ribosomal RNA
Rfam family: Bacterial small subunit ribosomal RNA
Source: RNAcentral
GACGAACGCUGGCGGCGUGCUUAACACAUGCAAGUCGAACGGUAAGGCCCUUCGGGGUACACGAGUGGCGAACGGGUGAGUAACACGUGGGUGAUCUGCCCUGCACUUCGGGAUAAGCCUGGGAAACUGGGUCUAAUACCGGAUAGGACCACUGCCUGCAUGGGUGGUGGUGGAAAGAGUUUGCGGUGUGGGAUGGGCCCGCGGGCUAUCAGCUUGUUGGUGGGGUGAUGGCCUACCAAGGCGACGACGGGUAGCCGGCCUGAGAGGGUGACCGGCCACACUGGGACUGAGAUACGGCCCAGACUCCUACGGGAGGCAGCAGUGGGGAAUAUUGCACAAUGGGCGCAAGCCUGAUGCAGCGACGCCGCGUGAGGGAUGACGGCCUUCGGGUUGUAAACCUCUUUCAGCACCGACGAAGCGCAAGUGACGGUAGGUGCAGAAGAAGGACCGGCCAACUACGUGCCAGCCGCCGCCGUAA